AGAGUUUGAUCAUGGCUCAGGAUAAACGCUGGCGGCGUGCCUAACACAUGCAAGUCGAACGCGUCCGAGGGGGCAACUCUUCGGAUGAGUGGCGGACGGGUGAGGAACACGUGGGUUAUCUGCCUUGAGGUGAGGAAUACCGGCGAGAAAUCGCCGACAAUACCGCAUACGUUUGGAGACAAACAAAGCCGAGCAAUCGGCGCCACAAGAUGAGCCUGCGGCCGAUUAGGCUAGUUGGUGGGGUAAAAGCCUACCAAGGCGACGAUCGGUAGCUGGUCUGAGAGGACGAUCAGCCACACUGGGAUUGAGAACGGCCCAGACUCCUACGGGGGGCAGCAGUGAGGAAUUUUCGUCAAUGGGGGCAACCCUGAACGAGCAACGCCGCGUGCAGGAAGAAGGUUUUCGGAUCGUAAACUGCUUUUCCCAGGGAAGAGAACGGACGGUACCUGGGGAAGAAGCCCCGGCUAACUACGUGCCAGCAGCCGCGGUAAUACGUAGGGGGCAAGCGUUGUCCGGAUUUAUUGGGCGUAAAGCGCACGCAGGCGGUCAUGUCAGUUUCGAGUGACAGGUGGUGGCUUAACUGCCACAGGCCUCGAAAGACGGCAUGACUUGAGGGCUUGAGAGGGACGCGGAAUUCCAGGUGGAGCGGUGAAAUGCGUAGAGAUCUGGAAGAACACCAAAGGCGAAGGCAGCGUCCUGGCAAGUUCCUAACGCUCAGGUGCGAAAGCUAGGGGAGCGAACGGGAUUAGAUACCCUAGUAGUCC
RNAcentral lists this ribosomal RNA (764 nucleotides) under uncultured bacterium. Its description in RNAcentral is "bacterial SSU rRNA". It matches the Rfam family "Bacterial small subunit ribosomal RNA", at positions 8 to 796 of the family's 1533-position model. The record is from RNAcentral.